This 584-nucleotide long non-coding RNA is filed under the name Homo sapiens (human). RNAcentral describes it as "HSALNT0116106". Lineage: Eukaryota; Metazoa; Chordata; Mammalia; Primates; Hominidae. The record is from RNAcentral.
UCAGAACGACCUCAUUUCGCAGAGGUGUAUUAUUCUCCUACUGUAUGCAUGGCUCUGUGCGGAUUACCAAGGGAAAGGUCACUACCCCAAGGAGUGUGCAAUCCAGCUGGGAGAUAAGACAAGCACGCAUGACAUUUCAGUAACAGCUACAAACAGCUACAGAGUGCGGUGGCGCCAGCACAGAGCUCUGCUCAACGUCCCUCUGUGCUUUCACGAUGCUGAUGGAUUAUGAAGAUGAGGAAGCGGAUGCAUAGCAAGUUUAAAUAGCUUGCAGAAGGACACACAGUUUGCAAGUGAAGGAGCUCAAAUUCAAAGACUGGCAGUCUGCAUCCAGAGUUGAUCAUCUUAAAUACCAUGCUGAACCGGUUGCUCUCAAAGUCUAAACAGUAUUUUUUACAAUAAGAUAUCCUUUUGUAGGUCAACGAAUAGUUUCUAAUUCUUUUUAAAAUAAAAUACAAUGAACUGAAUACAAUUUAAUGCAUCAGAGUAAAUUUUACAUAGCAAAGUAUGUAUUAUUUUCUUUCAGCUAUGCAAUUCCACUAGUAUGAGGUAUCUACUGUAGUGAAACUCACAGAAACAGAAAG